This is a long non-coding RNA of Branchiostoma floridae (Florida lancelet), 383 nucleotides long. RefSeq lists it as uncharacterized. The record is from RefSeq and is a predicted model, not a curated record. Lineage: Eukaryota; Metazoa; Chordata; Leptocardii; Amphioxiformes; Branchiostomatidae. The transcript is spliced from 2 exons.
CUCUGCACAGAGUACCGCUUCGCACACCUGACUAUUCUGUAGUACAGCCCAACCCACAGUACCGCUUCGCACACCUGACUAUUCUGUAGUACAGCCCAACCCACAGUACCGCUUCGCACACCUGACUAUCCUGUAUACAGGACUACCAAGUUAAAGUGAACUUUCACAUGUAAGAUCCAAAUAAUUUUAGUUGGUCAAAUUGUUUCCUUUUUGUUGUUUCAAGUUUAAGCGUUACAUGGAGUAAUCAAACUUCUGUAUCCUAGGUCUGGAUCUCACAAAACGUGAAACACUCUAUUAAAAAAAAAUAAAAACUUUAAACUUAUUGAUUAUCUGGAACCCCGUUUUGUUCUGCGCUACUGAAUAAAGGAGAAACUGUACUAUUA